AUGGAUUUACACCCACAGGUGAUUUGCUGGAAUGCUCGAGGCUUGAACAAUCCAGCCAAACGCAAGGCGGUGCGGGAAUUCGUGAGUACUCUUGAGGUCAACUUAGCUUGCUUGCAAGAAAUGAAAUUGGAUGUAAUAGACAACUAUCUAGUUAUGCAAUGUUUGGGACCAUCGUUUGAUGGUUUUGCUUACUUGCCGGCUAUAGAAACUAGAGGGGGUGUGCUUCUUGCAUGGAAGAGCUCGGACUUGGAGGUGGAGGCCAUACAAAUCGAUACUAACUUCCUGACUGGUCGGGUGCGCACUAAGACAGGUGAUCCUUGGUGGAUCUCAGUUGUUUACGGACCGCAAAGCGACGAGCAAAAGUGCAACUUCUUGGAGGAGCUUAGGUUAAGGAGUUCGGUCUGCCCGGGAGCAUGGCUUCUCCUUGGAGACUUCAACGUGAUCCUCCGAGCCUCGGAAAAGAGUAACACCAAUCUUAACAGGAGCAUGAUGAACACAUUCAGAGAGUUCGUGGAUGAUCAUCAAUUGCUUGAGAUGUACAUGCACGGGAGAAAAUACACUUGGUCUAAUGAGAGGGACUUGCCCACCCUCGCCAAGAUUGAUAGAGUCCUCAUGACAGUGGAUUGGGAGCUGGACAAUGCGGAUCACCUUCUGCAAGCACUGUCCACAGGAGUCCCUGAUGAUGCGCCGUUGCACCUCACCACGAGCGCGGGCUUUUGCCCUAAAAAAGGUUCAGAUUUGAGCUUUUCUGGACGAGAUUGGAGGGCUUUGAGGAAGCGGUGA
This 783-nucleotide ribosomal RNA is filed under the name Triticum aestivum (bread wheat). RNAcentral's name for it is "partial small subunit ribosomal RNA". Lineage: Eukaryota; Viridiplantae; Streptophyta; Magnoliopsida; Poales; Poaceae. The record is from RNAcentral.